UUUUAAUUUAAUGUAAUUUUAGUUCCCUUCUUGUUGGGGGGUUUCAAAUGAUUAAUUGGUUAUUGUUCAUCUUGAUUACUCAAUUCUUGAAAGAGAGUGGAUUAAUUAUGUUUAGAGGCAGUAUAUAUAGUAAUGGGUAUGCAAGAUUUUAAGGUAUUUGGGUGUGUAGGAAUUUUAGGCAUUAACAGUUGUUGAAUUAAUGAAUUAUUGCUCGAUUCUACUCUGUAAUGACUAAAUUAAAGUUUGAUUUGUUCGGUUUCUAAAAUCAUUCUAUUGUGAGUAUGUUGGAGUUUUUGUUAGUCUAUUUAACAAUAUCAAGAAUGCUUGUUAAAUGUGAGCAUCUUAAACUUCAAAAUGAAAUGUUGAGAAAUUUGUUUAAUGAAAUUGCUUUAUUGGUAAAAUGCCGAAUUGAUUUUUCUAAAUUUUUUGGUACAAAUGGCCAUUUUUAAGUUCACAUCUCCUUUGUUAGGGAUAAACAGAUUUAUGUCACAUGGAUAUCUAAUGAUAAAUCUUUACGUUUUAUUAUUGUAUGAUACAGAUAAGAUAUCUGGAUACACAAAGGGCUACAAAUUUGUGAAGUCUAGUGAUAAAGUGAACAACUACGAGCCAUGGCUAAGAUGAUUGGAAGGAAUUGUUCAACCAGCCCAUGCUAAUUGGCUCAGCUGCUGGCAAACAAAAAGUGGCUGGUCAUGUUAAAUAUAUGAUCUACCCUUCAUCCUUGUGGUAUGUUUGUUAGCUUAUGAGAUGUCCAUUAAAGUAGCAAAUUGACUUAAACAUGCUGAAUUCGACCCUUUUUUUUUUUUUUUGGGUAUGUCAAGAUCUGAUUCUUGAAUCUGACAGUUUAAAUGCAUUGGUGACUUUUUGUUUCAGAGACAUUUUCAAGAUUCAAUAUCUGUUGAACAAUAGUGUUUAAAUUUGCUUCUUUCAAGUUGUGCUCUUGAAUCAUUGAAUAUAACCACAGUUCAUGAUAUUAUUUCUUUCGGGUACUUUAAACUUGUUAAAAAAUAAUAAUCUUUGUUCCAUCAACACACAUCUCCUGUCAAUACUUAUACAUGGAACACACUAACAUUAGCUUCAAAAUG
RNAcentral lists this long non-coding RNA (1082 nucleotides) under Olea europaea subsp. europaea. The record is from RNAcentral. Lineage: Eukaryota; Viridiplantae; Streptophyta; Magnoliopsida; Lamiales; Oleaceae.